CCACGGUCUCUGCGACGCAGCUAACGCAUUAAGUGCCCCGCCUGGGGAGUACGAUCGCAAGAUUAAAACUCAAAGGAAUUGACGGGGCCCCGCACAAGCAGCGGAGCAUGCGGCUUAAUUCGACGCAACGCGAAGAACCUUACCAAGGCUUGACAUAUACAGGAAUAUGGCAGAGAUGUCAUAGCCGCAAGGUCUGUAUACAGGUGGUGCAUGGUUGUCGUCAGCUCGUGUCGUGAGAUGUUGGGUUAAGUCCCGCAACGAGCGCAACCCUCGUUCUGUGUUGCCAGCAUUUAGUUGGGGACUCACAGGAGACUGCCGGGGUUAACUCGGAGGAAGGUGGGGAUGACGUCAAAUCAUCAUGCCCCUUAUGUCUUGGGCUGCACGCAUGCUACAAUGGCUGGUACAAACGGCUGCAAUACCGCAAGGUGGAGCGAAUCCGAGAAAGCCAGUCUCAGUUCGGAUUGGGGUCUGCAACUCGACCCCAUGAAGUCGGAGUUGCUAGUAAUCGUAGAUCAGCAACGCUACGGUGAAUACGUUCCCGGGGCUUGUACACACCGCCCGUCACGUCACGAAAGUC
This 577-nucleotide ribosomal RNA is filed under the name uncultured Actinomycetes bacterium. RNAcentral's name for it is "bacterial SSU rRNA". It matches the Rfam family "Bacterial small subunit ribosomal RNA", at positions 832 to 1412 of the family's 1533-position model. The record is from RNAcentral. Lineage: Bacteria; Bacillati; Actinomycetota; Actinomycetes.